CUAUGUUGUAUUAGAUUGAUUAUUAUCAACAACUAAAACAAACCCUACCCUCCUCUCAAGAACACGCACGGCAACAGGAGACCCCCCCCCCCCUGUUCGCAGCUUAUUGGUUUGUACGCCCUCAUCACUUCUUGGGUGUGGGUGUCCAAUGAUAAACAAGUAAAUUAAUCUUACCGAGCAAAACUAAGGUCGUUAGAUAUCUUGGAUUUGGGAACUUGCUGCCUGGAGU
Long non-coding RNA from Helianthus annuus (common sunflower), 229 nucleotides. RefSeq lists it as uncharacterized. The transcript is spliced from 3 exons. Lineage: Eukaryota; Viridiplantae; Streptophyta; Magnoliopsida; Asterales; Asteraceae. The record is from RefSeq and is a predicted model, not a curated record.